UACGAAGGGGACUAGCGUUGUUCGGAAUUACUGGGCGUAAAGCGCACGUAGGCGGAUUCGUAAGUCAGGGGUGAAAUCCCGGGGCUCAACCUCGGAACUGCCUUUGAUACUGCGGAUCUCGAGUCCGAUAGAGGUGGGUGGAAUUCCUAGUGUAGAGGUGAAAUUCGUAGAUAUUAGGAAGAACACCGGUGGCGAAGGCGGCCCACUGGAUCGGUACUGACGCUGAGGUGCGAAAGCGUGGGGAGCAAACAGG
RNAcentral lists this ribosomal RNA (253 nucleotides) under uncultured bacterium. RNAcentral's name for it is "partial 16S ribosomal RNA". It matches the Rfam family "Bacterial small subunit ribosomal RNA", at positions 524 to 776 of the family's 1533-position model. The record is from RNAcentral.